RNAcentral lists this ribosomal RNA (456 nucleotides) under uncultured organism. RNAcentral describes it as "bacterial SSU rRNA". It matches the Rfam family "Bacterial small subunit ribosomal RNA", at positions 346 to 794 of the family's 1533-position model. The record is from RNAcentral.
GUGCAGCAGUCGCGAAUUUUUCACAAUGGGCGAAAGCCUGAUGGAGCGACGCCGCGUGGGGGAUGAAGGGCUUCGGCCCGUAAACCCCUGUCAUUUGCGAACAAACCUUUUCAUUGAACAGAUGAAAAGCUGAUUGUAGCGAAAGAGGAAGGGACGGCUAACUCUGUGCCAGCAGCCGCGGUAAUACAGAGGUCCCAAGCGUUGUUCGGAUUCACUGGGCGUAAAGGGUGCGUAGGUGGUGGGGUAAGUUUGAUGUGAAAUCUCCGAGCUUAACUCGGAAAUGGCAUUGAAUACUACUUUGCUAGAGGGUCGGAGGGGAGACUGGAAUUUUCGGUGUAGCAGUGAAAUGCGUGGAUAUCGAAAGGGAACACCAGUGGCGAAAGCGAGUCUCUGGACGACUCCUGACACUGAGGCACGAAAGCUAGGGGAGCAAACAGGAUUAGAUACCCCUGUAGU